AUGCAGAGCAAAGCCCAGGGACAGGAGGAUUUGGAUGGAGCACCUGUUGGGACUGGUGGCAAAUCCGUAUUGCUCUUGGCAUCCCUUCCAGAAGGGCUCCAGGCGGCCGUGACCCUGCUGGAGUUCGGGGGGGACCUCCAGCCCCCCGGGGGGGCCCUGCGCCUCCUCUGCCACGCCUCUGGCUUCGAUUUCGGGAGCUACGACAUGGGCUGGGUGCGCCAGAGCCCUGGGCAGGGGCUGGAAUGGAUCGCGAGUAUCAGCAGCAGUGGUGGCAGCACCAACUACGCGCCGUCGGUCAAGGGCCGGUUCACGAUCUCCAGGGACAACGGGCAGAGCUCGGUGACGCUGACCAUGAGCAGCCUCAAGGACGAGGAUUCCGCCGUCUAUUUCUGCGCCAAAUUUUUCCGCAGUGGUUGGGCUGGUGCUGCUGUUUUGACCGUUUCCCCCAAAUCUCGGCCUGCCCCUCGCCCUCGGGCCGUUUGCCCGGAGCCGUCCCCCAAAUCUCAGCCUUUCACCCCAGAUUGCCGCUCCCUCCCCUGGCGGCCAUCGGCCCCAAAAUCCCUCUGGGGCAGCCCCAGAUCUGUGCCCCGGGCACCGAACCCGCGCUGGGGCACCGGAUCCUGA
Motacilla alba alba is the source of this 624-nucleotide non-coding RNA. The record is from the annotation of a RefSeq genome assembly. Lineage: Eukaryota; Metazoa; Chordata; Aves; Passeriformes; Motacillidae.